GCUUCGUGGAUCUGGCCGGGGCACAGGAAGUGCACGUGGGUGUCGACCCCGCCGGCGGUCAGGAUCCGCCCGUUGCCGGAGAUCACCUCCGUCUCGGGCCCGACGACGAAGUGCGAGGCGCGCGCGUCGUCGUGCGGCCGGGACGACAUCGUCUCGGGGUUGUACGCUGUGCCGAUCGCCCGGAUCCGGCCGUCGCGCAGACCGACGUCGGCCUUCACCACACCCCAGUGGUCCAGGAUCAGCGCACCGGUGAUCACGGUGUCCACCGGCUCCCGCCGGUCGUCGCGCGGGAUGUGCGACUGCCCCAUCGACUCGCGGAU
This 320-nucleotide small RNA is filed under the name Streptomyces sp. NWU49. RNAcentral's name for it is "5' ureB small RNA". It matches the Rfam family "5' ureB small RNA". Lineage: Bacteria; Bacillati; Actinomycetota; Actinomycetes; Kitasatosporales; Streptomycetaceae. The record is from Rfam by way of RNAcentral.